CUAAUCCUGACUCUCAAACUAGCACAGCUGAAUUGGAUAUUGAUUAUGGGACAGAUGGGACAAGCGAGAAUGCUCAAAUAGAUAUAAAUGCUCCUAUUAAUGUUCAGGAGUCAAUGUGUGAACCAAUGCAGGAGUCAUCAACAUCUUACCAACCUCAUGUCGAUGUGACAGAAUUUCGCGGCAAUGUGACAGAAUUUCGCGGCAACGAGCUUGAGUAUCAGGUAACUAUGAGAGAACAAUCUGAGCCAUCAUCGCUUUCUCGUGUCAACGUAACAGAAUUUCCCGUCAGCA
Long non-coding RNA from Exaiptasia diaphana, 291 nucleotides. RefSeq lists it as uncharacterized. The transcript has 3 exons. The record is from RefSeq and is a predicted model, not a curated record. Lineage: Eukaryota; Metazoa; Cnidaria; Anthozoa; Actiniaria; Aiptasiidae.